GUCUUAUUGAAAAUAUUUUUAAGUCUAAUCUGCCCAUUGAUAUUUAAAAGGCCGCAGUAUUAUGACUGUGCAAAGGUAGCAUAAUCAAUAGUUUUUUAAUUGGAGACUGGAAUGAAUGAUUGAAUAAGAAAAGAACUUUUUUUAUUUUAGAAUUUGAAUUUUAAUUUUAAGUGAAAAUGCUUAAAUUUUAAUAAGGGACGAGAAGACCCUAAAAUUUUUAUUAUUUGUGAAGAAUUUAAUUUAAGAAAUUUUUUAAGAUUUUUUAUUAAUAAUUUAAUUGGGGUGAUUUUUUAAUAUGAAUAACUUAUUUAUUGCUAAAACUUUUUUAAAAAAAUUUUUUGAUCCAUAAUUUAUGAUUUUUAGUUUAAAUUACUUUAGGGAUAACAGCGUAAUUUUAUUUUGAAGUUCUUAUUUAUAAUAAAGUUUGCGACCUCGAUGUUGAAUUAAAAAUUUUUGUAGGGGUAGAUUUUUACAAAGAUAGUCUGUUCGACUAUUAAAUUUU
Molecule: ribosomal RNA, 502 nt
Filed under: Stimulopalpus japonicus
Lineage: Eukaryota; Metazoa; Arthropoda; Insecta; Psocodea; Amphientomidae
Description: partial 16S ribosomal RNA
Source: RNAcentral